RNAcentral lists this ribosomal RNA (451 nucleotides) under uncultured bacterium. RNAcentral describes it as "bacterial SSU rRNA". It matches the Rfam family "Bacterial small subunit ribosomal RNA", at positions 29 to 506 of the family's 1533-position model. The record is from RNAcentral.
ACAAACGCUGGCGGCGUGUAUUAGGCAUGCAAGUCGUACGCACACUUCGGUGUGAGUGGCGGACGGGUGAGUAACACGUGGGUAACCUGCCCUUGGAGUGGGGAAUAACUCGCCGAAAGGCGAGCUAAUACCGCAUACCACCCCCGGUGAGAUUCCGGGUGGUAAAAGCAGUAAUGCGCUCUAGGAGGGGCCUGCGGCCGAUUAGCUUGUUGGUGGGGUAAUGGCUCACCAAGGCGACGAUCGGUAGCUGGUCUGAGAGGAUGGUCAGCCACACGGGGACUGAGAUACGGCCCCGACUCCUACGGGAGGCAGCAGCUAAGAAUCUUGCGCAAUGGGCGAAAGCCUGACGCAGCAACGCCGCGUGGGGGACGAAGGCCUUCGGGUCGUAAACCCCUUUUGCGAGGGAAGAAGUUCUGACGGUACCUCGCGAAUAAGACACGGCUAACUACGU